UACAGAGGGUGCAAGCGUUGUUCGGAAUUAUUGGGCGUAAAGCGCGUGUAGGCGGCUUUGCAAGUCGGGUGUGAAAGCCCUCAGCUUAACUGAGGAAGUGCGCCCGAAACUGCUUAGCUUGAGUGCCGGAGAGGAUGGCGGAAUUCCCCAAGUAGAGGUGAAAUUCGUAGAUAUGGGGAGGAACACCGGUGGCGAAGGCGGCCAUCUGGACGGUAAAUGACGCUGAGACGCGAAAGCGUGGGUAGCAAACAGG
This 253-nucleotide ribosomal RNA is filed under the name uncultured bacterium. RNAcentral's name for it is "partial 16S ribosomal RNA". It matches the Rfam family "Bacterial small subunit ribosomal RNA", at positions 524 to 776 of the family's 1533-position model. The record is from RNAcentral.